This 186-nucleotide unclassified non-coding RNA is filed under the name uncultured Strobilomyces. RNAcentral describes it as "sequence contains ITS1". Lineage: Eukaryota; Fungi; Basidiomycota; Agaricomycetes; Boletales; Boletaceae. The record is from RNAcentral.
UCGAACACACACAGAGAAAGGGGGUCAGUCGCUGGCGCCUUCACGGGCGCAUGUGCACGUCCCCCCUUCUUCUUCUCUACACCACACACUUGUGCACACUCCGUCCGCGCUGGACCUCGUGAGGGGUCCGGCGAGGGUCUCACAUCACACUCUGACGUAUGGCCACAGAAUGUAUAUGAAUCAUUA